RNAcentral lists this long non-coding RNA (1259 nucleotides) under Scleropages formosus (Asian bonytongue). RNAcentral describes it as "lncRNA (ENSSFOG00015027526.1)". Lineage: Eukaryota; Metazoa; Chordata; Actinopteri; Osteoglossiformes; Osteoglossidae. The record is from RNAcentral.
CAAGGGUAUUACACCCAACGGUGAGAUUCAAACCUGCAACCUUUAGGUGCAAAGACAGCAGCUCUUUCCACUACAUUACCAAGCAGUCCGAGAUGGCCUUCCAGAAGUACUCGAACUUUUGACUGGUAUUUUCCAGCUUCAUAUCACUACGACACAAAAUACUGCUUACAAAGAUAUCCUGCUUUCAAGCUCAGGUGCUCGUAAAAAAUAGGCUGCCGUUUCUUGCACUGAGCGUGACAUGCGGCGCAAUCGGUGUGAUUCCGGUUGGCUCCGUGUUCCACACGCAGGUACUGAGCACAGGACAGAUGUUUGUGGGACAGCAGACUGAGGCCGGUGAGUGGGCAGGUGCGCGCAUGUCAGCGUGUCACAAAGUAGGCCGGCAAAGGAUCGUGCACCUUGCGCCCACAUUCCUGGACGGGUCACAUUCUUUCUUCCGAAAGGGUGCUUUUUUUUUUUUUUUUUAGCAGGCCGCCCGACAGGUUUACAAGUAUUGCGGUGACUCCGAUGGAUGAAACCAACCCCGCUGCUCCAGGACGCCGGCCCACUUCAGCCUAUGUUCCCUGCAUCAGUAAUACUACAGCAGCAGAUGGGAUUCCAACCCGGACCCUACAAGUACAAGAUGACCGCUCUAACCACUGCGCCACCUGCUGCUAUGUGAAGGGAACAACAACACUCUUCAACACCGCAAACAGGUGCCCAGGUAGUGGCACAUUAAUGUUCUCCAGUGGAAAGAAAUUAAAACCACUGCAUUUAAAUACUGUAUCUCUUUGCUGCUUUUGUGUCAUGAAGACACAUUGUUUGUACCUCUGGAGUUUCUUCCCUUGCACAACUUGAGAAACUUGUUAAUGUUCACCAGCCAACAAUCUGGCAGGUAAUUGCACAUUUCUUGAGUGCUCUUCCCUAGAUGUUUCUCCCUGAGCACUGAACGGCACUGCCAACGUGGAGUAAGUGGAGACGUGACAAGCGCCGCCACAUGAACGUAUCUUAUCUGUUGAUCUUUCAAUCGGUUCAACUUAAGGGAAAACCCAAAAUUUCAAAAAAAGCUCCUCCUGUAGCCCUGUUUAAUGCAGUAAACACUUUUAGCAUUAAAUCAUAACACAUAUGACGAGUAGGGGGACAGCUGGUAGCGGAGGGGUUAGAGCUGCUGCUUUCGGACCCAACGGUUACAUGCUCGAUUCCCACCUCCAGCUAUAGUACCCUUGAGCAAGGUACUUACCCUAAAUUGCUCCAGUAAAAUUACCCAACUGUAUAAUGGGCAA